Molecule: transfer RNA, 72 nt
Filed under: Ictidomys tridecemlineatus (thirteen-lined ground squirrel)
Lineage: Eukaryota; Metazoa; Chordata; Mammalia; Rodentia; Sciuridae
Description: Spermophilus tridecemlineatus (thirteen-lined ground squirrel) tRNA
Rfam family: tRNA
About the family: Transfer RNA (tRNA) molecules are approximately 80 nucleotides in length. Their secondary structure includes four short double-helical elements and three loops (D, anti-codon, and T loops). Further hydrogen bonds mediate the characteristic L-shaped molecular structure. tRNAs have two regions of fundamental functional importance: the anti-codon, which is responsible for specific mRNA codon recognition, and the 3' end, to which the tRNAs corresponding amino acid is attached (by aminoacyl-tRNA synthetases). tRNAs cope with the degeneracy of the genetic code in two manners: having more than one tRNA (with a specific anti-codon) for a particular amino acid; and 'wobble' base-pairing, i.e. permitting non-standard base-pairing at the 3rd anti-codon position.
Source: Rfam by way of RNAcentral
AGGGUUGUAGUUUAGUGGUAAAACACUUGCCUAGCAUGUGUAAGGCCCUGGGUUCCAUCCCCAGCACCACAU